This 465-nucleotide ribosomal RNA is filed under the name Vreelandella stevensii. Its description in RNAcentral is "partial 16S ribosomal RNA". It matches the Rfam family "Bacterial small subunit ribosomal RNA", at positions 338 to 795 of the family's 1533-position model. Lineage: Bacteria; Pseudomonadati; Pseudomonadota; Gammaproteobacteria; Oceanospirillales; Halomonadaceae. The record is from RNAcentral.
CCUACGGGGGGCAGCAGUGGGGAAUAUUGGACAAUGGGCGAAAGCCUGAUCCAGCCAUGCCGCGUGUGUGAAGAAGGCCUUCGGGUUGUAAAGCACUUUCAGUGGGGAAGAAAGCCUUGGGGCUAAUACCCUCGAGGAAGGACAUCACCCACAGAAGAAGCACCGGCUAACUCCGUGCCAGCAGCCGCGGUAAUACGGAGGGUGCGAGCGUUAAUCGGAAUUACUGGGCGUAAAGCGCGCGUAGGCGGUCUGAUAAGCCGGUUGUGAAAGCCCCGGGCUCAACCUGGGAACGGCAUCCGGAACUGUCAGGCUAGAGUGAAGGAGAGGAAGGUAGAAUUCCCGGUGUAGCGGUGAAAUGCGUAGAGAUCGGGAGGAAUACCAGUGGCGAAGGCGGCCUUCUGGACUGACACUGACGCUGAGGUGCGAAAGCGUGGGUAGCAAACAGGAUUAGAUACCCUGGUAGUC